ACGGGUGAGUAAUGUCCGGGAAACUGCCUGAUGGAGGGGGAUAACUACUGGAAACGGUAGCUAAUACCGCAUAACGUCGCAAGACCAAAGAGGGGGACCUUCGGGCCUCUUGCCAUCAGAUGUGCCCAGAUGGGAUUAGCUAGUAGGUGGGGUAACGGCUCACCUAGGCGACGAUCCCUAGCUGGUCUGAGAGGAUGACCAGCCACACUGGAACUGAGACACGGUCCAG
This 229-nucleotide ribosomal RNA is filed under the name uncultured Enterobacterales bacterium. RNAcentral describes it as "partial 16S ribosomal RNA". It matches the Rfam family "Bacterial small subunit ribosomal RNA", at positions 102 to 334 of the family's 1533-position model. The record is from RNAcentral. Lineage: Bacteria; Pseudomonadati; Pseudomonadota; Gammaproteobacteria; Enterobacterales.